UUAAGCGACUAAGCGUACACGGUGGAUGCCCUGGCAGUCAGAGGCGAUGAAGGACGUGCUAAUCUGCGAAAAGCGUCGGUAAGGUGAUAUGAACCGUUAUAACCGGCGAUGUCCGAAUGGGGAAACCCAGUGCAAUUCGUUGCACUAUCGUUAACUGAAUACAUAGGUUAACGAGGCGAACCGGGGGAACUGAAACAUCUAAGUACCCCGAGGAAAAGAAAUCAACCGAGAUUCCCCCAGUAGCGGCGAGCGAACGGGGAGCAGCCCAGAGUCUGAAUCAGCUUGUGUGUUAGUGGAACGGUCUGGAAAGUCCGACGGUACAGGGUGAUAGUCCCGUACACCAAAAUGCACAGGCUGUGAACUCGAAGAGUAGGGCGGGACACGUGGUAUCCUGUCUGAAUAUGGGGGGACCAUCCUCCAAGGCUAAAUACUCCUGACUGACCGAUAGUGAACCAGUACCGUGAGGGAAAGGCGAAAAGAACCCCGGCGAGGGGAGUGAAAAAGAACCUGAAACCGUGUACGUACAAGCAGUGGGAGCACCUUCGGGUGUGACUGCGUACCUUUUGUAUAAUGGGUCAGCGACUUAUAUUCUGUAGCAAGGUUAACCGUAUAGGGGAGCCGCAGGGAAACCGAGUCUUAACUGGGCGUUAAGUUGCAGGGUAUAGACCCGAAACCCGGUGAUCUAGCCAUGGGCAGGUUGAAGGUUGGGUAACACUAACUGGAGGACCGAACCGACUAAUGUUGAAAAAUUAGCGGAUGACUUGUGGCUGGGGGUGAAAGGCCAAUCAAACCGGGAGAUAGCUGGUUCUCCCCGAAAGCUAUUUAGGUAGCGCCUCGUGAACUCAUCUUCGGGGGUAGAGCACUGUUUCGGCUAGGGGGUCAUCCCGACUUACCAACCCGAUGCAAACUACGAAUACCGAAGAAUGUUAUCACGGGAGACACACGGCGGGUGCUAACGUCCGUCGUGAAGAGGGAAACAACCCAGACCGCCAGCUAAGGUCCCAAAGUCAUGGUUAAGUGGGAAACGAUGUGGGAAGGCACAGACAGCCAGGAUGUUGGCUUAGAAGCAGCCAUCAUUUAAAGAAAGCGUAAUAGCUCACUGGUCGAGUCGGCCUGCGCGGAAGAUGUAACGGGGCUAAACCAUGCACCGAAGCUGCGGCAGCGACACUAUGUGUUGUUGGGUAGGGGAGCGUUCUGUAAGCCUGCGAAGGUGACCUGUGAGGGUUGCUGGAGGUAUCAGAAGUGCGAAUGCUGACAUAAGUAACGAUAAAGCGGGUGAAAAGCCCGCUCGCCGGAAGACCAAGGGUUCCUGUCCAACGUUAAUCGGGGCAGGGUGAGUCGACCCCUAAGGCGAGGCCGAAAGGCGUAGUCGAUGGGAAACAGGUUAAUAUUCCUGUACUUGGUGUUACUGCGAAGGGGGGACGGAGAAGGCUAUGUUAGCCGGGCGACGGUUGUCCCGGUUUAAGCAUGUAGGCUGGUUGUCCAGGCAAAUCCGGAUAAUCAAGGCUGAGGUGUGAUGACGAGGUACUACGGUGCUGAAGUAACAAAUGCCCUGCUUCCAGGAAAAGCCUCUAAGCAUCAGGUAACAUCAAAUCGUACCCCAAACCGACACAGGUGGUCAGGUAGAGAAUACCAAGGCGCUUGAGAGAACUCGGGUGAAGGAACUAGGCAAAAUGGUGCCGUAACUUCGGGAGAAGGCACGCUGGUGUGUAGGUGAAGUCCCUGCGGAUGGAGCUGAGACCAGUCGAAGAUACCAGCUGGCUGCAACUGUUUAUUAAAAACACAGCACUGUGCAAACACGAAAGUGGACGUAUACGGUGUGACGCCUGCCCGGUGCCGGAAGGUUAAUUGAUGGGGUUAUCCGUAAGGAGAAGCUCUUGAUCGAAGCCCCGGUAAACGGCGGCCGUAACUAUAACGGUCCUAAGGUAGCGAAAUUCCUUGUCGGGUAAGUUCCGACCUGCACGAAUGGCGUAAUGAUGGCCAGGCUGUCUCCACCCGAGACUCAGUGAAAUUGAACUCGCUGUGAAGAUGCAGUGUACCCGCGGCAAGACGGAAAGACCCCGUGAACCUUUACUAUAGCUUGACACUGAACAUUGAGCCUUGAUGUGUAGGAUAGGUGGGAGGCUUUGAAGCGUGGACGCCAGUCUGCGUGGAGCCAACCUUGAAAUACCACCCUUUAAUGUUUGAUGUUCUAACGUUGGCCCCUGACCGGGGUUGCGGACAGUGUCUGGUGGGUAGUUUGACUGGGGCGGUCUCCUCCCAAAGCGUAACGGAGGAGCACGAAGGUUAGCUAAUCCUGGUCGGACAUCAGGAGGUUAGUGCAAUGGCAUAAGCUAGCUUGACUGCGAGCGUGACGGCGCGAGCAGGUGCGAAAGCAGGUCAUAGUGAUCCGGUGGUUCUGAAUGGAAGGGCCAUCGCUCAACGGAUAAAAGGUACUCCGGGGAUAACAGGCUGAUACCGCCCAAGAGUUCAUAUCGACGGCGGUGUUUGGCACCUCGAUGUCGGCUCAUCACAUCCUGGGGCUGAAGUAGGUCCCAAGGGUAUGGCUGUUCGCCAUUUAAAGUGGUACGCGAGCUGGGUUUAGAACGUCGUGAGACAGUUCGGUCCCUAUCUGCCGUGGGCGCUGGAGAAUUGAGGGGGGCUGCUCCUAGUACGAGAGGACCGGAGUGGACGCAUCACUGGUGUUCGGGUUGUCAUGCCAAUGGCACUGCCCGGUAGCUAAAUGCGGAAGAGAUAAGUGCUGAAAGCAUCUAAGCACGAAACUUGCCCCGAGAUGAGUUCUCCCUGAGACUUUAAGUCUCCUGAAGGAACGUUGAAGACGACGACGUUGAUAGGCCGGGUGUGUAAGCGCAGCGAUGCGUUGAGCUAACCGGUACUAAUGAACCGUGAGGCUUAACCUU
This 2900-nucleotide ribosomal RNA is filed under the name Klebsiella pneumoniae. Its description in RNAcentral is "bacterial LSU rRNA". It matches the Rfam family "Bacterial large subunit ribosomal RNA". The record is from RNAcentral. Lineage: Bacteria; Pseudomonadati; Pseudomonadota; Gammaproteobacteria; Enterobacterales; Enterobacteriaceae.